UACAGAGGUCCCAAGCGUUGUUCGGAUUCACUGGGCGUAAAGGGUGCGUAGGCGGUCGGGUAGGUCUGAUGUGAAAUCUCCAAGCCUAACUUGGAAACUGCAUUGGAUACUAUCCGGCUCGAGGAAUGGAGGGGAGACUGGAAUACUUGGUGUAGCAGUGAAAUGCGUAGAUAUCAAGUGGAACACCAGUGGCGAAGGCGAGUCUCUGGACAUUUCCUGACGCUGAGGCACGAAAGCCAGGGGAGCAAACGGG
RNAcentral lists this ribosomal RNA (253 nucleotides) under uncultured bacterium. Its description in RNAcentral is "partial 16S ribosomal RNA". It matches the Rfam family "Bacterial small subunit ribosomal RNA", at positions 524 to 776 of the family's 1533-position model. The record is from RNAcentral.